Molecule: small nucleolar RNA, 134 nt
Organism: Danio rerio (zebrafish)
Lineage: Eukaryota; Metazoa; Chordata; Actinopteri; Cypriniformes; Danionidae
Source: Ensembl
UUGCAUCAUUGACAGCUCAGAGUCUUGUAUUGUGGCCACCUGGGUUUCAAUAUGUUACGAUGCAAAAUGAAAGGUCCCUGCGCUUUCUGCUUGCCCCAUGAGUGGCAUGUAAGAUUGAAUUUGGGACUACAAAU